This 492-nucleotide ribosomal RNA is filed under the name uncultured bacterium. RNAcentral describes it as "partial 16S ribosomal RNA". It matches the Rfam family "Bacterial small subunit ribosomal RNA", at positions 29 to 507 of the family's 1533-position model. The record is from RNAcentral.
AGUGAACGCUGGCGGUAGGCCUAACACAUGCAAGUCGAACGGCAGCACAGUAAGAGCUUGCUCUUACGGGUGGCGAGUGGCGGACGGGUGAGGAAUACAUCGGAAUCUACUUUUUCGUGGGGGAUAACGUAGGGAAACUUACGCUAAUACCGCAUACGACCUACGGGUGAAAGCAGGGGAUCUUCGGACCUUGCGCGAUUGAAUGAGCCGAUGUCGGAUUAGCUAGUUGGCGGGGUAAAGGCCCACCAAGGCGACGAUCCGUAGCUGGUCCGAGAGGAUGAUUAGCCACACUGGAACUGAGACACGGCCACGACUCCUACGGGAGGCAGCAGUGGGGAAUAUUGGACGAUGGGGGAAAGCCUGAUCCAGCCAUACCGCGUGGGUGAAGAAGGCCUUCGGGUUGUAAAGCCCUUUUGUUGGGAAAGAAAAGCAGCAGGUUAAUACCCCGCUGUUCUGACGGUACCCAAAGAAUAAGCACCGGCUAACUUCGUG